This 468-nucleotide ribosomal RNA is filed under the name uncultured bacterium. Its description in RNAcentral is "partial 16S ribosomal RNA". It matches the Rfam family "Bacterial small subunit ribosomal RNA", at positions 28 to 507 of the family's 1533-position model. The record is from RNAcentral.
GACGAACGCUGGCGGCGUGCUUAACACAUGCAAGUCGAACGGAAAGGCCCUGCUUUUGUGGGGUGCUCGAGUGGCGAACGGGUGAGUAACACGUGAGUAACCUGCCCUUGACUUUGGGAUAACUUCAGGAAACUGGGGCUAAUACCGGAUAGGAGCUCCUGCUGCAUGGUGGGGGUUGGAAAGUUUCGGCGGUUGGGGAUGGACUCGCGGCUUAUCAGCUUGUUGGUGGGGUAGUGGCUUACCAAGGCUUUGACGGGUAGCCGGCGUGAGAGGGUGACCGGCCACAUUGGGACUGAGAUACGGCCCAGACUCCUACGGGAGGCAGAAGUGGGGAAUAUUGCAAAAUGGGCGGAAGCCUGAUGCAGCAACGCCGCGUGCGGGAUGACGGCCUUCGGGUUGUAAACCGCUUGCGCCUGUGACGAAGCGUGAGUGACGGGAAUGGGUAAAGAAGCACCGGCUAACUACGGG